UCGCCUGUGGUACCUGUUCAGCUUAACAGCUUUCCUUUCCCUCUUUCCCCUCGAACUGAUUCAUUCAUCCAGGUGGGGUGAGGAAGGACCGUAGCCAGGAGGUCAUGUGAGAAAUGGCAAGUGUAGACAUCGCUGUAACUUCUGUUCUCGUGUUCCUGCUGUUUUCAGAUUCCGCAGUCACAGCCUCACCCCGGGAGGCUCAGGACACCCUAGAGUGAGCUUCUCUGAAAAAUAGAGUUGCCACUCGCCUACCAGCCCACGUUGCAUUUGAUUACCACAUAAUGAAAUGAUUUUCCUUCCCUCUUUUAUUUCCUCUCCUUCUUUCCUUCUGAGACAAAUGGAAAAAUAAUUUGAUCCCCUUGAAUCUUUUCACCCUGGGUAUUUUCCCCCUUCACACCGAGCACCGCCCCUUGAUAAAUGAGAACACAUGUGCUGAAAACCCGGCCUUCACCCUCUUGACUCAGGCUCCUCCUCCUCUCGGGACUCGGCUUUCCUUUCAAACCCCCUGAAUAAAUUCAUCACAGCAGGAAGAACAUUGUUUUUCUUCAAAA
This 551-nucleotide long non-coding RNA is filed under the name Lynx pardinus (Iberian lynx). Lineage: Eukaryota; Metazoa; Chordata; Mammalia; Carnivora; Felidae. The record is from RNAcentral.